GGGGAUCGGGCGUCACUCCCAACCCCUGU
This 29-nucleotide ribosomal RNA is filed under the name Fusarium fujikuroi. RNAcentral describes it as "partial 18S ribosomal RNA". Lineage: Eukaryota; Fungi; Ascomycota; Sordariomycetes; Hypocreales; Nectriaceae. The record is from RNAcentral.